Molecule: ribosomal RNA, 253 nt
Filed under: uncultured bacterium
Lineage: Bacteria
Description: partial 16S ribosomal RNA
Rfam family: Bacterial small subunit ribosomal RNA
Source: RNAcentral
GACGAACCGUCCUAACGUUGUUCGGAAUCACUGGGCUUAAAGGGCGCGUAGGCGGGCCAUAAAGUCAGGGGUGAAAUCCUCCAGCUUAACUGGAGAACUGCCUUUGAUACUGAUGGUCUCGAGUAAGGUAGGGGCAUGCGGAACUGAUGGUGGAGCGGUGAAAUGUGUUGAUAUCAUCAGGAACUCCGGUGGCGAAGGCGGCAUGCUGGACCUUCACUGACGCUGAGGCGCGAAAGCUAGGGUAGCGAACGGG